This 462-nucleotide ribosomal RNA is filed under the name uncultured bacterium. RNAcentral describes it as "bacterial SSU rRNA". It matches the Rfam family "Bacterial small subunit ribosomal RNA", at positions 29 to 524 of the family's 1533-position model. The record is from RNAcentral.
AACGAACGCUGGCGGCGCGCCUAAUACAUGCAAGUCGAGCGAGAAGACGUAGCAAUACGUUUGUAAAGCGGCGAACGGGUGAGGAAUACAUGGGUAACCUACCCUCGAGUGGGGAACAACUCAGGGAAACUUGAGCUAAUACCGUAUACGUCCGUAAGGAGAAAGAUUCAUCGCCCCUAGACGGGCCCGCGUCGGAUUAGGUAGUUGGUGGGGUAACGGCCUACCAAGCCUACGAUCCGUAGCUGAUCUGAGAGGAUGAUCAGCCACACUGGGACUGAGACACGGCCCAGACUCCUACGGGAGGCAGCAGUGGGGAAUCUUGGACAAUGGGCGCAAGCCUGAUCCAGCCAUGCCGCGUGAGUGAAGAAGGCCUUAGGGUUGUAAAGCUCUUUUACCAGGGACGAUAAUGACGGUACCUGGAGAAUAAGCCCCGGCAAACUUCGUGCCAGCAGCCGCCGUAAU